Pongo abelii (Sumatran orangutan) is the source of this 148-nucleotide unclassified non-coding RNA. It matches the Rfam family "Metazoan signal recognition particle RNA". From Rfam's summary of the family: The signal recognition particle (SRP) is a universally conserved ribonucleoprotein. Lineage: Eukaryota; Metazoa; Chordata; Mammalia; Primates; Hominidae. The record is from Ensembl.
GCCGGGCAUGGUGGUGCGCACCUGUAGUCCCAGCUACUUGGGAGGCUGAGGCAGAAGGAUUGCUUGAGCCCAGGGGUUCAAGGCUGCAGUGAGCUAUGGUUGCUCCACUGCACUCUAGCCUGGGCCACAAAGGAAGACCCUGUCUCAA